Long non-coding RNA from Pogoniulus pusillus (Red-fronted tinkerbird), 651 nucleotides. RefSeq lists it as uncharacterized. The transcript is spliced from 3 exons. The record is from RefSeq and is a predicted model, not a curated record. NCBI's taxonomy places the organism in Eukaryota, Metazoa, Chordata, Aves, Piciformes, Lybiidae.
GGUUUACGUUGGCUCUGCAGGUUGCCUGAGCUGUGAAGAGCUCCUUAUUCUUGCUGCUCAAGGGUGUGUUGGGCAGCAAUAAGGGCAUCAUGAUCAUUGCUGAAUCCCUAUGCUGAUCAAGCUUUGGCAAUAGGAGCCUCAUGCCCUGUAGUAAAUAUGCUCAUCUAAUGAUGACUUUUGAGACAGAGAGCUCCUCAACCAUCAUUCAGUUUGUUGUUCAGACUGGCCAUGGCAAACAAGACCAGAAAAAGCUGCUUUGCAUUCCUUCAAGAGCUGCAAAAUGCUCAAGACUUUAUGGAUUAUGGAUGAGUCGCCUGGAGAACUGUUCCUGUAACUCCAGCAGGAUAUGUGACCCAGUGACAUGCAAAGCAGCCAGCUUAAAGCUACAGCUGGAAACUCAGGAAACAACAAGAUGCCUUGUCUGGAAAUGUGGUUUGGAGCACCACUCAGACUCUUCUCUGGUCCAAUUUUCUCACUUGCAUAGCCCAAGAAUGGGGAAUAAGAGACUAGCUGGCUUUUGGGGGUCUUGGCCUUCUGCAAGUAGCAUGAUUUGUCUUAUGGGAAGUCAGUUUGUGUCUUGAUAUCCUAGGAGCUGAGAAUUGUUGUAGAAUAAAGCUGCUCCAGGUUUCCCCUGCUGUCCUUGAGGAAAAA